Molecule: non-coding RNA, 73 nt
Organism: Archangium gephyra
Lineage: Bacteria; Pseudomonadati; Myxococcota; Myxococcia; Myxococcales; Archangiaceae
Source: Rfam
GCGGUGGUAGCUCAGCUGGUAGAGCACGAGCUUCCCAAGCUCGGGGUCGCCGGUUCGAACCCGGUCCGCCGCU